This 300-nucleotide ribosomal RNA is filed under the name uncultured Lactobacillus sp. Its description in RNAcentral is "bacterial SSU rRNA". It matches the Rfam family "Bacterial small subunit ribosomal RNA", at positions 496 to 795 of the family's 1533-position model. Lineage: Bacteria; Bacillati; Bacillota; Bacilli; Lactobacillales; Lactobacillaceae. The record is from RNAcentral.
GGUAACGCGGUGCCGGGAGCCGCGGUAAUACGGGGGGUGUAAGCUGUUACCGGAUUUAUUGGAUGUAAAGGGUCCGGAGGCGGACCGGUAAGUCAGUGGGGAAAGCCUACAGCUUAACGGUAGAACUGCCGUUGAUACUGUCGGUCUUGAGUGUGGUUGAGGUAGCUGGAAUGAGUAGUGUAGCGGUGAAAUGCAUAGAUAUUACUCAGAACACCAAUUGCGAAGGCAGGUUACCAAGUCACAACUGACGCUGAUGGACGAAAGCGUGGGGAGCGAACAGGAUUAGAUACCCUUGUAGUC